UCCAUGAGUAAAGUGGCGUACGGGUGAGUAACACGUGACUAACCUACCCUCGAGUGGGGAAUAACCUCGGGAAACCGGGGCUAAUACCGCAUAACAUCUUCUGGCUGAGAUGCCGGUUGAUCAAACCAGUAAUGGGCUUGAGGAGGGGGUCGCGGCUGAUUAGCUAGUUGGUGGGGUAACGGCUCACCAAGGCGAUGAUCAGUAGCCGGCCUGAGAGGGCGCACGGCCACACUGGAACUGAAACACGGUCCAGACUCCUACGGGAGGCAGUAGUGGGGAAUUUUGCGCAAUGGGGGAAACCCUGACGCAGCAACGCCGCGUGGAGGAUGAAGUCCCUUGGGACGUAAACUCCUUUCGAUCGGGACGAUUAUGACGGUACCGGAAGAAGAAGCCCCGGCUAACUUCGUGCCAGCAGCCGCGGUAAUACGAGGGGGGCAAGCGUUGUUCGGAAUUAUUGGGCGUAAAGGGCGCGUAGGCGGUGCGGUAAGUCUGAUGUGAAAUCUCCGGGCUCAACUCGGAG
Molecule: ribosomal RNA, 520 nt
Filed under: uncultured Acidobacteriota bacterium
Lineage: Bacteria; Pseudomonadati; Acidobacteriota
Description: bacterial SSU rRNA
Rfam family: Bacterial small subunit ribosomal RNA
Source: RNAcentral